UACGGGGGGGGCAAGCGUUGUUCGGAAUUACUGGGCGUAAAGGGCUCGUAGGCGGCCAACUAAGUCGGACGUGAAAUCCCUCGGCUUAACCGGGGAACUGCAUUCGAUACUGCCGUGCUUGAGGACUGGAGAGGAGACUGGAAUUUACGGUGUAGCAGUGAAAUGCGUAGAGAUCGUAAGGAAGACCAGUGGCGAAGGCGGGUCUCUGGACAGUUCCUGACGCUGAGGCACGAAGGCCAGGGGAGCAAACGGG
RNAcentral lists this ribosomal RNA (253 nucleotides) under uncultured bacterium. RNAcentral's name for it is "partial 16S ribosomal RNA". It matches the Rfam family "Bacterial small subunit ribosomal RNA", at positions 524 to 776 of the family's 1533-position model. The record is from RNAcentral.